RNAcentral lists this ribosomal RNA (253 nucleotides) under uncultured bacterium. Its description in RNAcentral is "partial 16S ribosomal RNA". It matches the Rfam family "Bacterial small subunit ribosomal RNA", at positions 524 to 776 of the family's 1533-position model. The record is from RNAcentral.
UACAGAGACUGCAAGCGUUAUCCGGAAUCAUUGGGCGUAAAGGGUGUGUAGGCGGUUUGGUUAGUCUUUUGUUAAAAUUUCGAGCUCAACUCGAAACUUGCAGAGGAAACGGCCAGACUAGAGGGUGCAAGAGGUGAAUGGAACUCAUGGAGUAGGGGUGAAAUCCGUUGAUAUCAUGGGGAACACCAAAGGCGAAGGCAAUUCACUGGUGCACAUCUGACGCUGAAACACGAAAGCGUGGGUAGCGAACGGG